Molecule: long non-coding RNA, 12474 nt
Filed under: Oryza sativa (Asian cultivated rice)
Lineage: Eukaryota; Viridiplantae; Streptophyta; Magnoliopsida; Poales; Poaceae
Description: long non-coding RNA (OSAT_LNC001355)
Source: RNAcentral
GCCGUUCAAGUCUCAUAAUUCAUCUAAAAUCAUGAUCUACAUGUUUGUUUACUUUAUAUGUAUUGUUUAUUUGGUUUUUAUUAGUCUUUUUCUUCGUUUUGCGUGUUAGCUUGUCGUUUCCGUCGUUGCGAAGGUUCGUGAGUGCGUCGGAAGUGAUCAAGAAGAUUAAUUGAAGAUCGGUUAUUGCAAGGCAAGUCACACAGAUCCUAAACACAAUCCUUUGAGCAUGUUGAUCCUAUAUUUAAAUUCUCUAUUUAUUUCAACUGUGCAUUUAUUUUCGAAUGUCACUGGGUGGUGUGAACCUAUUCCUUUGUUAUGGCCAAUUUGCAUUGGAUGCCCUAUUCCUUGAUACCUUGGGUAAUAAAUUGAUUAGCUUGAACCUUAUGUAUUGGUUUGGUUCAGCUAAAUGUUAUAUAUAUAAUUGCUUAGCAAUGCUUAGAAACAUUAGCUCACUAAUGGGAUGAAUCAUAUAUACUACAUUAUUAUUUAUGGUUAUAUUUAAUGGUAGCUCACGAUGGUUAAUCGUGUUAUGAUAAUUAAUUGGUAAUUAAAAUAUGAUUAAUGGUGGGUUGUGAGCACAUGGUUUUGAAGGUCGUGCUCAUGGCAAUUAAGGACCGGUUCGCGAGCUACUGUUGUGAAACAUUUACCGUGCCAACCACAAGCCAGCGUGGGCAACGGCUUUAUCUUUUGUAUAGCGUGAUUCAUUAUAGUGCGCCAGACUGAGAAGUGGCGAGAAGUCCAUGGGGGUCGCUGGGGAGUCCAUGCCUUGUUUAUAAGGGGGUGAUUAUGAUCCAGGAAAGGUGCGCUGUAAUGGAUUAUGCUGUGCAAGGGGUAUUGUCACAACUCCUUUCCGAGGUACCGUGGUGGUACUGAGACACAUGGUGACAUGAUGUGGGGUUGUGUCUUGUGGGUACAGUGGUACACCUCUGGCCAGAGUAAAACUAUUCGAAUAGCCGUGCCCGCGGUUAUGGGCGGGUUGAGCAAUGUUUUUCGUGAUUAGUCUCACACCUCUCACAAUAAUUAUGGAUGUAAUAACUGGUAAUAAUUUGCUUAGCUCCUGGUUUGGAGUUAGAUCUGUUCAGCCGGGUAUGGUUGUUCAGGAUGGUUGGGCCUGUACAGCAUGGGUGUGCUGUUCAGUGUUGAUUAAAACUUCUGAUUAAUUAAUCUACUGUUUUACUACUCUUAACUCUUUGCUAAAUGCUGCUUUCGCAAAUGAGCCUAUAUUAUGCCAUACUUUGGAAUCCUUGUGCACUUGCAUAUUUGCUGUGUGGCUUGUUGAGUAUGUCAUAUGCUCAUUCUUGCAAUAAUCAUCAAACCUCAGUUGAAGAUAAAGGAUCCAGAAGGAGAAGACGUUUGGCUUAUACCCCAGUUGAGCUGCCUGUGGGAGUGGAGCCGGAGCUUCGCUAGAUUUUAUUUUCCGCUGCAGUUUUCUUCUUGAUGAGGAUUAAGUGCCUCAUAAGUAAGUAUUUAUCGUUUUAGUUAAUUUGAUGAAUCUGUAUAUUAAAUUGUCAGUUUGUGUACCUCGGCUGAUUCCUGGACGAGGAUUUUAUGCACAAAUAAGUUCGGAAAUUAUUAGUGAAUUUCUGGGCGUGACAAGUUGGUAUCAGAGCCAUCUCAACUGUUGGAUAAGCCAAAUGGUCAAAUUUUAAGGACGAAUUUUUCCGACAAAAAUGAUUUGUGAAAAUUUCUCCUUUCUUCCUUAUCUAGAAUUCUUUACAAAUUGUUUCAUUGUCUACUCUCUUCUCUCGUUCAACUUGAGUAGUUCUGAAACUAAACUAGUGGUUGAAACCUGAAGACGCCAAUGAGGUCUACUGAUGGAGGUUAAGUAAAGUGGAUCGAGGAAGGACCAAAGUGCCCAGAUGUCAAGAUGGAAUGAAGUUGGCAUCCUGCCUUAGAACCUAUCCCGCCAAAGUGUCUUUGAAGAAUAGUUAGUAGGGUAGAACGCUGUUGUUUGCUUUGUGUGUAGGUAUGGUUGCAUUCCCGUCAUAGAUGUAGUCCAGUGAUGAGCGUGCAACUGUACUAGGUUGUUUGCUUAACCAACUUAAACAAUAUAAUGGUCUACACACAUCAGAUCAGUGUUAACCUGGUUAAGGUCUUGUCUUUAGUGUAACCUCUCUCCUUCUAUCUUUUCUAAUCUGCAACAGAUGGUGAACACUCGCGCCAGUGGAAGUGGAAACAAUAACAAUGAAGAGAACCCCACCCUUGCUCAAGUGCUGGCUCAACAGACCCAAUUGAUUAACAUGUUAGUGCAACAAAUGCAGAACCAGCAAGGGAACAACAAUGUCAAUCCUCCGCCGCCGCAGAACAAGUUAGCUGAUUUUCUUCGUGUGAGGCCGCCUACCUUCUCUAGCACUACCAACCCAGUGGAAGUAGGUGAUUGGUUGCACGCUGUUGAGAAGAAGUUGGAACUGCUCCAGUGUACGGAUCAGGAGAAAGUUGUUUUCGCUUCACAUCAGUUGCAAGGAUCUGCUUCAGAAUGGUGGGAUCAUUUCCGGAUGAACAGAGCAGAAGGACAACCAAUCACUUGGGCGGAGUUCACUGAAGCAUUCAAGAAGACACACAUACCUGCAGGUGUUGUUGCUUUGAAGAAGCGUGAGUUCCGGGCACUUAAGCAAAAGGAUCGUACUGUGACGGAAUAUCUUCAUGAGUUCAAUCGUCUAGCUCGCUAUGCUCCAGAAGAUGUGCGUACUGACGAGGAAAGGCAGGAGAAGUUCUUGGAAGGUCUGAAGGAUGAACUGUCAGUUAUGUUGAUCUCUCAUGACUAUGAGGAUUUUCAGGAGUUGGUUGAUAAAGCAAUUCGACUGGAAGACAAGAAGAACAGGAUGGACAAUCGUAAGAGAGGAAGGAUUGUUUUCCAGGAGGCACAGGAUAGUAGCCAGAGGCAGCGUAUCAAGCCACUCCAAAUUGGUGAAUCUUCUUCCGCUGGUCAAGAACAGUCACAACAGUUGAACAUCGGUGGUGAGAUCAACUCAGAGACUAAUGCAAGCAAUGAAGACAAUGAUGGGCAAGCUACUCAAUCAGUGUCAUUUCAGCAGGAUCAGUCUCAAGAAGAUAACAGUAGUGGAAGGGAGCAGCAGGUAUGUUUCAGCUGUUACAAGCCAGGCCACUUUGCAAGAGAGUGUCCGAAGUCACAGCAUCAGCAGCCGCAAGGUCAGAUCAACAACAUUGUCGUCACAGGAGCCAAUGCAGUGCCAGUUGCGUCUUCAAGAGUUGUGUCUUCAAGUGUUACAACUCAGCCACCAGUUUCAAAGCGGCAGUAGUUUUCUUUAAAGCCUUAGAAUAAUUAUCGGAGUUAUGGAAUAAGAUAGACUGCAGUUUACCUAUGCCCUUUUCUUUCUAGCCGUUCCGAAUCUCGGGACGAGAUUCUUUGUAAGGGGGGUAGAUUUGUCACAUCCUGAUUUUUGUCUUAGGAUUUAUAAAUUAUUUAAUAAAUUAUUAAUAGAAUUUAUAUUAAAUGUUCUUUAAUUUACAAGUGAAGUUAAAUGUGGGAAAUAAAAUUUCCUAAAUAUAAAGCAUGGAUGGAUUUAAUUUUUAUUAAAUUCUCCAUGGUUAAUUAUACUCUCUGGAAUUUUCUCGGAUUUUUCGGAGCUCAAUUAUUAAUUUUAAUCAUACAAAGAACAGUUCAGUAAUUAUUUGAUCAAUAAUGAUCUAAUUAUAAUUGUUGUUUAUAAUCCUUAAAUUAUAAAUUGUUGUUUAAAAGGAAUUAUUAGAAAUGAUUUUAAAAGCUUCAAAGAGAAGAUCUAAUUUUAAUUUGCUAAAUCUCAAUAUAAAAAUGAGCUAGAUAAAAUUUUAUUAAAUACUUUGCUUGUUCCUCUAUUUUCUAGAAUUUUCUGGGAAUUAUUUGAGCAAGGGAAGUAUUUUUAAUAAUUGAAACAACAUUUCACAAAUUGUUUUAUUUAAAAAAGUUCAAAAAACCCCUCCCUAAGCCGUUGGGCCGAAUUCGGCCCAAUACUCUCUCUCUCUCUCCCGCGCGGCCCAAGCCGGCCCAGCUCAGCCGCCGCCCCUCCUCCUCCAGCCGCCGACAUGUGGGGCCCACAUGUCGGAGGUUUCUUCAACCUCCGGCCGGCCUCAGGCCGAGCCCGAGUCGGCCGACCGAGCCCCUCUUCCUCUCCGAAUCCGCAUCCAAUCCGGUCCUUUUUCUUCCGUUUGUUUGAGGGGUUUUUAUCCUCUCAUCCUCCUCUAUCUUUUCCCUCAACAAUCGGAGCAAGAGGUUGAGUAUUUUAUCCGAAUCGAGUUCGUUUCGAUUUUAUCCCCAAAAACCGAGUUUAGAUUUUCCCGAAGCGAUUUCUUGCGGGAGGAGUCCGAUCUCUUCAAUCCAAGGCUAUAAAUAGGACCACCUCGUCGCUCUCUUUCGUUUGCCCCCUUUCCCGAGCUCUCUAGUGCGCCGUAGAGUCGCCGCCAUGCCGAGUUAGUCGCCGCCGCCGCCGGCCGAUGUCCAGCCGCGCCGCCGCGCCGCUCCUGCCGUCGCCGCCGCUUGCCGCCGCCGCCAAGAGGUGCGCCGAGGAGUGAGGAAGCCCGGCCGCCCGUUCCCCUUCGCCGUCGCCCACCAGAGCUCCGUCGCCGUGUCACGCCCGGAAUUUCUAUCCAAAAUUCCAAACGCUUACAUGUGUGUGAACCCUCGUCCAGGAAUCAGCCGAGGCACACAAUAACAAAUUGAUAAUAGAGUACAAUUAUUACUCUAAUUAAUACGCGAAUAAAAUGUCAUUACAGAGGUAGAUAGUUCCUCUCAAUCAAUAAAGAUCUAAGCAGCGGAAAAUAAAUAAACGGCGCAGACGGCUCCACUCCACAGGCAGCUUGACCAAGGCUACACCUAAUCCUCCACACCAUCAGCCUCAUUGUAGAACUCUUCCUCUGAUGAAUGAUUGCAAGGUGAGUAUAUGACAUACUCAGCAAGCCACGCAGCAAAUAUGCAAGUGCACAGGAUAACAAAGGAUGGCAUAGUAGGGUUUCAUUUGCAAAAGCAGCAUUUAGCAAACAUUUGAGAAUUUGAGAAAACAGUUAAGUAAUUAAACAAUAUUAAUCCAACGCUAUACAACAUACCCUGUUGUAUAGGCCCAACCAUUCUGAACAACCACCCCGGCUGCACAGUUCUAUCUCCAAACCAGGAAUAUACCAUUCCAAACCAGGAGCUAAACAAAUUAUUACCAGUUUAAGCAUCUUUUACAACGAUGAGAGGUGUGAGACUAAUCACGAAAGACAUUGUUAGACCCGCCCAUAACCGCGGGCACGGCUAUUCGAAUAGUUUUACUCUGAUCAGAGGUGUACCACUGUACCCACAAGACACAACCCCACAUCAUGUCACCAUGUGCCUCAAUACCACCACGGUAUCUCGGAAAGGAGUUGUGACAAUACCCCUCGCAUAACACAAUCCACUGCAGCGCACCUUCCUGGAUCAUAAUCACCCCCUUAUAAACAAGGCAUGGACUCCCCAGCGACCCCCGUGGGCUUAUCUCCGCCACUUCUCAGUCUGGUGCCCCGCAAUGAACCAUGCUAUACAAAAGAUAAAGCCGUUGCCCAUGCUGGCUUGUGGUUGGCACGAUAAAUGUUUCACAACCGAAACUCGUGAACCGGUCCUUAAUUGUCAUGAGCACGACCAUCAAAACCAUGUGCUCACAACCCACCAUUACCAGGUUUUAGUUGGCACAUUAAUUAAUUAACUAAUCACGAUUGACCAUCGUGAACUAUCAUUAAACCAUCAUGAAAUAAUAGUGAAUCAUUAGUUAUCCCGAAUAUGUGCUAAUGUUUCUAAGCAGGGCUAAGCAAUUAUAUCUAAUAUCUAGUUGAACUAAUAUAAAUAAAGCUCAACUAGUCAAAUUGUAAUAACCCAAGGUAUCAAGGAAUAAGGUAAUCAAGUACAAAAGGGCCAUAACAAAGAAUAGGUCAAUUCCACCCAAUGACAUUCGAAAACAGAUGCAAUAGUUGAAUAGAAACAAUAGCUUUAAAUAGGAUCAACAUGCUCAAAGGGUUGUUUGGGAUCUGUGUGACUUGCCUUGCUGGCCUUGGAACUCUUCAAACUCUUCUCCGGCGAAAACGGACUCUCCGGAAACGACGGAAUCUAAGCGGAAAAGAGCAAAAUCACCAAAACAGCACAUAAACAAACAUGAACAGUACAUGUGGAUAUUUUUAAUGUGUAGAUCUCAAUUUUAGAAAAAUUUAGAGACUUGAACCAACUAAAUCGGAGCUAAGAUGAAUUAGUUAUGAAUUUUUAAAGAUUAAAUCGGAUUAAAACACUUAAAUCGGUUAGAAUUGAAUUAUGACGCAAUAAUGAAUUAUUUUUAAAAAGGAAAAGAGGGUUUAUUGCGUCAGCGGGCUAGGGUUUGGGUGGACCGGGCGCACAGGCGGCGGUUCACGCGAACGGACGGCCGAGAUCGAUCCAUCCAAAACGGACGGCCGAGAUCGAACGGUCUACGACCGGCUCACGGCGGACGACCCUGAUGACGUCAGCAAUGACGUCACCGACAGCGGCGGCGGCUCGGCGGAGGAGAUGGCUCGAACGGCGCACGCUCGCCGGCGAACGGCGGCGCGAGGAUGCAAACGGAGGGCACCAAGACGAAGAGGACAACGCGGCGAACUCACCGGUGACCUAAACGGCGGCGGAAGACCAACGGACGGCGACGGCGACGAGGAGGAAGCGGCGGGAACCUUCGGGUCAACGACGGCGAUGCUGCUCCGGUGAUCUCCGGCGACGGCGAAGGGGCGGACGAGGACGGCGACAACUUGGCGAGCACGACGGUGGUCUUCCCGAGCGACGGCGACGGCUGAAACGACGGCGGCGCACGGCUGGAGCGGCGGCGGCGACGGCGAAGCUAGGGCACACGGCGCUAGAGCGAUUCCGACGACGAGAGGCGAAGGCAAGGGUGGCGACGGGUAGAGGAGACACCGGGGGUCCUUUUAAAGGGGCUAGGAGGCGGCGGCAAAGGCCCACGGCGGCCGGCGACGAGGAAGGAAAGAUCGGGAAGAACGAAUCCGAGACAAACUCGAAUCCGACGCUUUCCAAAACGAUUUAGCCAAAGAUUCCAAAGGAGAAAAGGUAGAGGAGAUCCCGAGGAUCAUAUCCCCUCUAUCAAUUCGGCCGGAGAAGGAAAGGAGCGGCCGGAUUGGAAAGCGGCGGCGGCGGCGGUGCGCUAGGGUUUCGGCCCGAGGAGGACGACGAUCCCGACAGGUGGGACCAACCUGUCAGCGACAGCGCGCUUGCGCGGGCGGCUGCGGCUGCGGACUGGGCCGGCUGGGCCGAGGAGAGAGAAGAGAGGUUUUGGGCCGACUUUCGGCCUAAAGCCAAAAGAAGACUUUUUAAAACCUUUUUCAAUUUAAAUUAUUUCUUAAAUGCAAUUCCAUUUAUUAAAAAUACUUUCUUAGCUCAAAUAAAUCCCAGAAAAAAUCUAGGAAUUAUAGAAUUAAGCAAAGUAUUUAAUGAAAUUUUAUCUGGCCCCAUUUUAUAUUGGAAUUUAUUAAUUAAAACUAGAUCUUCUCUUCAAGACUUUUAAAAUUAUUUCUAAAAAUUCCAAUUAAACAACAAUUUAUAUAUUUUGAAUUUUCAGGGCGUGACACGCUGUCACACCCCGAAGUUUUCCUCCCAAGCCAAAAUUGUAAUUUUUAUAAAUGACCCUAAGAAAAUGCUGGUGAAAUCAGGAGAAAACCCUAUGAAAGUAAUGCAAAUAAUAAUCGGAUUUGACAUGUGGAAUUUUUCUUGAGUUCUACAUGUCGAAACUCAUUAACAGGAUUUUUAGUGGAAUUUUCAGAGCUCUAGAAAUAAUUUUAACCAAUUAAAAUUGAGCAAGCAAUAUUUUAAUUCCAGGGAAAAUCCUUUUUCCUUUUUCUUUUUCUUUUCCCUCCCUUUUUCCUCCUUUUUCCGAAUGGGCCGCCGGCCCAUUCCCUCCUUCCUCCCCUCCUCCUUGUUGGGCCGGCCGCAGGCCGAGGCCCAGCCAGGCCGCCCCGCCGCCUCCUCUCUCGGGGUCGCCGACAGGUAGGGCCCACCUGUCGGGUCCUUCCCCCACCUCCCGCCGAUCUCGCUCGCACCGCCGCGCCCGCAACCGCCGCCGCGCCCUCGCCUCCGCCUCCUCCGGGCCACGUCGACCACGCCCGCGCGUGCGCCGCGUCUCCCGCGCCCACUCCCCUCUCUCUCCCGCCCGCGCCCGCGCCCGAGAUGGCCGGGAUUCGAUUUUCGAAUCCCGCCUCUCUCUCCUCCCCUACUCCCCACGUCGGCCGGCGAUUCCCGCCUCUCCCGGCCACGUCCGGUUCCCUCUCCCCCUAUUUAAGCAUCGCCGCCGUCCCCUCUCACUUUUUCCCCAUUUCGCCGCACCCUCUCGAGCCUCCGAUCGCUCCCGCGCCGUGCAACGCCUUGCCGCCGCUUUUUUCCGCAACUCCGGCCGCCACUAGCCGCCGUUAGGGUCGCCGCCAGGCCGCGCCGUCGCCGCCGUCGGGUUCGCGUGGCCGAGAUCCACCCCGUCCACCCCUCCUCCGUCGAGGUUCGUCGCCGGAGCCCUCGUUCCCUCGCACUCGGGUGAGCACCACCUCCACCGCCGCCUUCGGCCAUGGUUUCCGGUCGCCGUGGUCCAUCUCUCUCCCUCUAAUCCCUCUCCUCUCCUUCCUUAGGGCACCCCGAAGCUCGUUCGCCCGCCGACGUCGUCCUUCCGUGGCUUGCCGUCGCCGUUCGCCAUCGUCUUCCUCCGCGCCGGCCACCCUCGGUGAGACACCCUCCCCUCUUUUCCUCUCCCUCUCCCUCCUAGCCGCCGCUUUAGCGCCGCCGCCCGUUCGUCGUCGCUUUAGCAUCACCGCCCUUCGGCGCCGCCUUUGCGCCGCCGUCUCCGCCGUCGGUUGCCGUUGUCGGCAACGCGCGUGCGUGUGCGCGCGUCGUCGCCAUGACCGGUCGGUCGGCUUUGUGCCGAGCCGAGCCGGCGGCCGCCUUUAUCGCCGCCCGUUCCCUCCCCUUCCUAGCCGCUGCUAGCGCAGCCGCCUUCGCGUCGCCUUUUGCGCCGUCGCCUUCGCCGCCGGUUGCCGUCGCCGGCAACCCGUUCGCGCGCGCGCCGUUGCCGUCGCCGCGGCCGGUCGGUCGGCCUUGAGCCAAGCCGAGCCGGGUGUCGCCGCCCCUUUUCCUCCCGAGCCGCUGACCAGUGGGCCCGCGUGCCGGCGCCCCUUCCUCCUUCUCCCGAGUCGCUGACCGGUGGGCCCCGCUUGUCGGCGCCGCGCCCCCCUCCGUGCUGACGUCAGCCCUGGAAUAUAUUGCGCAAUAAAUGAUUUAGGGUUUUUCUUUUAUAGUAAUAAACACAGUGAAUCUUCUAAAAUUCAUAACUAAUUCAUCCGAGCUCCGUUUAAGCCCAUUCAAGUCUCAGUAAAUCAAGAAAAAUGUGUAGAAUCCAUUAAAAAUGGUUUUGUUCCCUGUUUCAGUAGUCUUAUAGCCUGUUUGCAAUGUUUGCUUUGUAUGUCGCUAGAUUCCGUUUCCUCCGACGCUCCGGUGUACUUUGAGAUAGUCGCCGAGGUUCCUCCAGCAGCAGAGCAAGGCAAGUCAUGCUUGUCACUUGAACAUGUUGAUCCUAUAUUGCAAAUGCUCUAUUGUUUUCUUUCAAAUAUUGCAUUGUUUUAUAAUAUUACUAUGGGAUGGUUACCUAUUGUUACAGCCAUGCUUUUUGGAUAUCAUGCUCCUUUGUUAGCUUGGGGUUAUAACAUGAUUAGAGUUUGGACUAGGAAUUGCUUAGCUAUUCUUAGUUCAACUAGUUCACAAUGGGGAAAAUCAUAUUAAUGUUUAGACUGUUGGUUCUAAUGAUAAUGUUGGAUUAGUACCACCGCUCUGGUGUUGGUUAAUUAAAAUGAAUCACAUGGUGGGCUGUGGGUGCAUGGUUUUGCUGGUCGCACCCAUGGCAGUUAAGGACCGGUUCGCGGGAUGCCCUGGAAGAACUUAUCGUACUUACCACAAACCAGCGUGGGCAACGGCUGGGCUUGUAGCGUAGCUUUCCUCUAGCCGACGCAUCCAGGCAAGGGUGGGCGUGAUGGAGUUUGGAUGGGCCCUGCAACGGCCUAUGCGGCUUCCGGAUUCACCUAGGCACGAGAGGGGACUGCCCGCUGCCUUGCGAGGAGUGGGGGUGAAACCUGAGGUGUGGUGUGCUUGGUUAGAGGGGGUUAUGCGAGUGGUCCUGUCACGGCCUCUUUCCGGUAUGUCGUGGUGACAUGUCGGCGCACGGAAACGUGUCGUGGGGCUGUGUCUUGUGGGUACAGUUGUACACCUCUGAUCAGAGUAAAACUAUUCGAAUAGCCGUGCCCGCGGUUAUGGGCGGUCAACCAGAUUCACCGUGAUUAGUCUCACCCUAGUGUAAUCUUUUGAAUUUGGAUAGUUUAGGUGGAUGGUUGGGCCUGUCGCAACGUGGGCUAGCGUUGGACAGCGGAUGUUUAAUAUUAAUUAAUUAUUACAACUGUUUAAAUCUUUCAAUUUCUGUUUAUAAAUGCUCGCUGUAUGCAAAUGAACCACUCUAGCUCUUCUUUGUUAAUUCCCUGCAUCAUACCCCUAUUACGGUAUGACUUGCUGAGUACAGUGGGUAGUACUCAGUCUUGCUCUACUUUUCCUAACCCCAGAGGACGGGUAUGUGUCAGAUGAAGGUUUCCCCGAGGAGUAGGCUUCGUCCGUGCCGUCGAGGAUGCCUGUGGAGUGGUGUUCCCGCUGUAGUUUAGUCAAAGUUUAGUCAAGGCUUAGCUCCUGUUGUCUUUCUUUUCUUCCGCUGCAUUUAUGUAAGACUUUAUGAUGUUUGUAAGACGUGGAUCUGUAUGUCAACAUUGUCGUUUGUGUACCCCGGCUGGUCCUGGACGGGGAUUUUUAUGCACAUUCUGCUUGGAAUUAUAUUCGGGAAUUUCUGGGCGUGACACACGCCGCCGUUCAACCGAGCCGCCGCCGCCUCUUGCGUCGUCGCCGGCCGUCGUCGGUUGUCGUGAGACGUUUUGGUGAGUACCAUCGGGUUCGUCUCGACGUCCUCUACGCGUAGGUGCCCUUGGAUAGCCCGGCCGAUCUCUCUAUCGCCGGCGAGGUCGUCGCCCGUGUCAUGCCGGUGAUGAUGACGUCAGCAUGACGUCAUGAUUCCUCUUUUCCAGUUUUUUUUCUAAUAGAUUAAAUCUUCGGAAAAUCAUAACUAAAUAACCGUAGAUCCGUUUCAGGUGGUUCAAGUUGCUAAAUUUUUCUAAAAUAAAGAUCUACAUAUUAAAAUUGUCCAUAAAUUGAAUUAAAUUUAUUUAAUUCUUUUUAAAUGGGCUUUAAUUAGAUUUAAUCUUGUAAAAUUCAUAAUAAAUUCAUUUGAAGUCGGAAUAAGGCCGUUCAAGUCUCAUAAUUCAUCUAAAAUCAUGAUCUACAUGUUUGUUUACUUUAUAUGUAUUGUUUAUUUGGUUUUUAUUAGUCUUUUUCUUCGUUUUGCGUGUUAGCUUGUCGUUUCCGUCGUUGCGAAGAUUCGUGAGUGCGUCGGAAGUGAUCAAGAAGAUUAAUUGAAGAUCGGUUAUUGCAAGGCAAGUCACACAGAUCCUAAACACAAUCCUUUGAGCAUGUUGAUCCUAUAUUUAAAUUCUCUAUUUAUUUCAACUAUGCAUUUAUUUUCGAAUGUCACUGGGUGGUGUGAACCUAUUCCUUUGUUAUGGCCAAUUUGCAUUGAAUGCCCUAUUCCUUGAUACCUUGGGUAAUAAAUUGAUUAGCUUGAACCUUAUGUAUUGGUUUGGUUCAGCUAAAUGUUAUAUAUAUAAUUGCUUAGCAAUGCUUAGAAACAUUAGCUCACUAAUGGGAUGAAUCAUAUAUACUACAUUAUUAUUUAUGGUUAUAUUUAAUGGUAGCUCACGAUGGUUAAUCGUGUUAUGAUAAUUAAUUGGUAAUUAAAAUAUGAUUAAUGGUGGGUUGUGAGCACAUGGUUUUGAAGGUCGUGCUCAUGGCAAUUAAGGACCGGUUCGCGAGCUACUGUUGUGAAACAUUUACCGUGCCAACCACAAGCCAGCGUGGGCAACGGCUUUAUCUUUUGUAUAGCGUGAUUCAUUAUAGUGCGCCAGACUGAGAAGUGGCGAGAAGUCCACGGGGGUCGCUGGGGAGUCCAUGCCUUGUUUAUAAGGGGGUGAUUAUGAUCCAGGAAAGGUGCGCUGUAAUGGAUUAUGCUGUGCAAGGGGUAUUGUCACAACUCCUUUCCGAGGUACCGUGGUGGUACUGAGGCACAUGGUGACAUGAUGUGGGGUUGUGUCUUGUGGGUACAGUGGUACACCUCUGGCCAGAGUAAAACUAUUCGAAUAGCCGUGCCCGCGGUUAUGGGCGGGUUGAGCAAUGUUUUUCGUGAUUAGUCUCACACCUCUCACAAUAAUUAUGGAUGUAAUAACUGGUAAUAAUUUGCUUAGCUCCUGGUUUGGAGUUAGAUCUGUUCAGCCGGGUAUGGUUGUUCAGGAUGGUUGGGCCUGUACAGCAUGGGUGUGCUGUUCAGUGUUGAUUAAAACUUCUGAUUAAUUAAUCUACUGUUUUACUACUCUUAA